AUUUCAAAACACAAGCAGCUAGUAAUAUUGUCGUCCACGUGGCAGUCACCGACGAGCAACGACGCGCAUUGAGCACUAUCCCUUUCCCCCUUUGUUUGGCAUCCCCAUUCAAUUCCACAAUCUUCCAUCUUCCGUUCCACGACAAUGCUCUGCUCGCCUCAAACCGCUAAAUCCGGUUCAAACUGGCUCGACCGCCUCCGGUCCAACAAGGGCAUCCCAACCGGCGACGACCUUGACCUCGACUCCUUCCUCCUCACCGCCCAUUCCCAUUCACCACAGGCCCGCCCCAACAUCCCGCCCCAGGCCCGUCAAUCCGAAACCCGCGACCCUCCAAUGAGCUCCGUCCUCGCUGAGCUCUUCAACAUGGGCGCCACUCUCACCAAAACCUCCAAAAAAUGCCCAAGGAAACAGACAAACCCUAAAAUCUUCGUCGCUUCCUUCGCCGCCAACACACGCAGCGCCGCCGCCCCCGCCGCCGCUCCCAGCGCCGAUGCGGUGGUGCCCGAGGAGGAUGAAGUGGGCGCGGAUCGCGGCGAUGAGGAUGAGAUCGAGAACGAGAAGGAGGGGAACGAGUUGAAGGGUUUCACGAAGAGCGAGGUGACGGUGAUCGACACGAGUUUACCCGGUUGGAAGGUGGAUAAGUUCGUGUUCAGGAAGAACAACGUGUGGAAAGUCAGAGAGAGGAAACUGAAGACCAAGUUCUUCGCUAAGAAGAAGAGCAAUUCCACGUUCGUGCCACGUGAACUUGAUGUCAAUGGAUUUGAGACCUCCAAGUAAGAGCGUACGUCGCUAUUGUUACUACAAAUAUUUGUUGUUUCGAUCCGUCGAAUGUUUUUUAUUUUGUGGUUUGAACUUGGAAGGUAUUCAUUGCUAAUUCAUUUUGUCAGCGCUCUGUAUAAGCAUAGAAAUUUUGAUUUUUGAACUGUGUUACUCUUAUCAUGUGCUAGGACCUUCGCUGCUGGCUUUAUUUUGGCGUGUUUAUGCAUUGGGUGUUGCUGUUAUGGAAUGUCUUGUGUUGUUUGUUCGUUAUUGCAUGCUUGGAAAAUGGUGGUAUCUUUAUAUUUUAUGUUGGUUUCGGCAGAUUGACUCCUUUGCUGUUCAAGAUUUGUGUUGGUGGGGAUUUGGAGUGGUAAUAUCAGUGUUCGUUUAAUUAUUUAUGGUGGUUUCACCAUCUCACGUACGAAAGGUUAUUGGUGAACAAUAAAACUGCAACUUCUAGUGCAAUAUUGGAAAGUGUUUAAUGUCCUUGCUAUUUAUUAUGAUUUCAUGGGAUCUAUCUCACUAUUUCAUAGCCCUUUCCACCGGAGUUUUAUUAUGUUGUUUAUAACAUUCUAUUUUUAGGCUUGUUUCAGGAACCAUCAAAUUUCCUGUUCUGAUUUCUGUUCUUAAACUUGAUAAGGUUGGCUAUACCAUGGUAGUAUUGUUAUUUUACUUAGGUUACAAUAUCAGAAAUGUCAGUUCAUUUUUUUGGUGACAUUUAGAUGCUUAUGGUGCUGACAUGGGUAAAUUGUGUUUAAUUUGGUAAAAACUUAUACUUCUAAUUGGAUUCUCACAAGCUCUAUGCUAUGUUUUAAGAGUUUUCUGUGUAUUGAUGCGUCCAGUGUACUGAAUCAGAGUGCUCCUUGUAGGCCAACCCUCUUCAGAAUUUUAUAGCAUUUUCAAUUCUCCUUCUGCUUCGUAAUUAAUAGAGAAAGAAAAUAUAAGAAAAAAAAUAUAUCCUAACUAUAAAUGGGCAAAUUGUCGUCUUGCAACUAUGGGGGUUGAUGUGGUGCUUAUGGCCUCCUAAUUCUCUUAUUGAGAUUGGCUUGUUGAUUUGUUGAUAUCCUUGUUUUGCCCUCUCUCUCAAAGACAAGUAUAAUGAUGAUUCUUUCAACUACAUACUGCUGUUGUUUGUUGAACAGACCACGUGACAUCCAACAGUAAAAUGAAAAGAAGGUUCAUCAUUAUGAUUAACUUUACUGGUAGGAGUAGGAGACUCUGUUAUGUACAAGCUUACUGAGAAAGCCUUUAAGCAGCUCAGUUUUCUAUUUUCUUUCUAUUUUAUCCUGUUCAUAAUUAAUUUUAGAGUAAUAAUACUCUAACAUGCAUUUCACUGUUUCUCUAUCAGCCAUUGUCUAUUUAACUAGCUCUUCGUAAACAUUUUUCUAAAUUGGCUUAAGUUAUUCCCACAACCGUUGGGAGACAAUUAAUCAUCAUCUAUAAUUUUAUCCUUAAUUGUUCCUUGUCGUUAAAAAGAUAUGAUUGCAUUAAAUACCAAUGAAUAGUAUUCUCUUCAUACUUUUUAGCUUUUAACACACAUGACAUUACAAUGCAGCAUGAAUUUACUCUUGCAUUAUUAGAUUUUUAUAAAUUGUGUUGUUGGUGUUCAGUUUGUUUUGAUAUUACCACUCUACACCUCCCUCUAACUUUCCCUUUAGCUUUUUGAGAAAUUUUCACAAGACAUCUCUAUGUUGCCUUGAUCUAGAACAAGCUAGAUUUCUGUCAACAGCUGUUGAUACAUGUGAUUGUUUCUACUUACUGAUAAGUUGUAACACUUUGCAUUUGCUCUCUUUGUUCUAUCAGUUGAUAUAGUUGAUCCGUUAAUUAAUGUAUAUUAUGCUGAACCAUGUUUCUUUUCACUUUGUAAGUCAAGUGAUUAUAUGGCAUGCCUUUUACCUUUGAAAUAAGUUACAAUAAGCCGAUUAAUCAGGAUGAAAAAAUGUUGUUUUAUUUAUAGUCAUUGCUUAGAGCUAGUAACACAUUUCAUGGAUGUGGUAUGCUACAAGUAGAUACAAUUGUGCAGUCAUGGGAUUUUUUAUAUUUCUUGUGCUGUCAUGUUCAGGGACAAUGUAAUCAACAUGAAAGCGGAGAAGCCUGUAAAGAUACAAAAGAUGAUCUAACUUAUCCCAAAAGGAGGCAAGUGGACUUACUACUAGCUGCUUGUGGUUACUGAUUAUUCUUUUGAUGCUUUAAACAGGCUAUUUUGGUAGAAAGUAAUUAAAGUGCAGGGAAUGAAAGGAGAUUGAUAUAUCUAGACUACAAGGUCUUCCAAAAAAUCAAGAAAGGAAAACACAUCUUCAUUUUAAUAAAAGUCAUCCCUUGUAGAAGAGCAAAGGAACAAAAACAAAGUUUAACAAAACUUAAGAGAGUCAGAAAAUAAUUCCGUCUUUACAGGUCAUUAACUUUAAAUUUUAAUUUGGCUGCAGCAAAUUAAGAUGCAGGCUUUGUCUUUGUGCUAUUUGAUAGUGGCAUACUGGUCUUCCAUUGGCAUUUAUCUAUUAAAAACUGUCCUCUUGAAAAGAGCUUGGAUUAAGUGACAUUUGGAGUUCUAAACAUGCAUUGUAGCGUCAAAAUAUUUACCUUGUAAAUUUUGGUUCCAUUUUCCUUAACUGGGAAGAAAUUUUUCCCCUUAUAUAAGCCGUAAGUUGCU
RNA transcript from Abrus precatorius (Indian licorice), 3409 nucleotides. RefSeq lists it as uncharacterized. The record is from RefSeq and is a predicted model, not a curated record. Lineage: Eukaryota; Viridiplantae; Streptophyta; Magnoliopsida; Fabales; Fabaceae. The transcript has 2 exons.